This is a non-coding RNA of Bombyx mori (domestic silkworm), 69 nucleotides long. NCBI's taxonomy places the organism in Eukaryota, Metazoa, Arthropoda, Insecta, Lepidoptera, Bombycidae. The record is from RefSeq and is marked provisional.
CUGUUGGACUCUAAGUCCAGGUCGUCAUGGAGGUCGACGUUCCUGACGAACCACGGAAAUAUCCAACAA